UUUUCUUCUCCCCAUUUUCCCACCCGAUUUCAGGAUGAAAAAGCACUCUGACGUCUUGAAAGCUGGCAGCUCUCUGUUUAGAAAAUCUCUGCCCAGUGAAAAAAUGUACCGACAAGAUUACUAAGUAACACAGUCUUCUGGGAAUGCCUUAUCAAUGCCAGCUAUUUGAAGAGCACCCAAAGUCAAACUAGUGCUCCGCGCUGGCAGUCUGGAAAAGGCAGAUGUAUAUUUCAGUCAGUAAUGGAUAUUACCACCAGCAUUUAAUCAAGGAAGCAGGAAGUGAUCCAUCACUGCUAGCUGCUAUCUACAGGAAUUCUGUCUACAGGCAGGGCAGACCAGUCAGCCAGUAUCUUCCCGAAGUACCUUGGUCUUCCACCAUCCAUCCCACUGAGAGAGCCGUUCCUCUAAUGAGGCAUUUCUAAGCAGCUGUCCAUUUAACUCUACCCCUUGAGAUAUACUGAGAAAUAGGAAUCUAUGGUUCCUAUUGUUUGGAAAGUAGUAUAUCUUCCUUGAAGAUUCACAAUGCGUAUUAAUAUGCUUAGGGCUCUGAGAAGUCCUGUAUUAAAAAUGCUUGUUAAACAUUGCUGAACCUAGCAUUUCUUUAACUUCACUUGGCCAUGGAGCUAUUUCCUUUAUUACACCUAUCAACAUUCCAAAAGAAUAAAAUUCCUCAGAAUAGAAUAUUUUGUUAUUUUUGAGUUAAAGACUGCAGAGCCUUCAUAAGACUUUUCUUGUUGG
This 738-nucleotide long non-coding RNA is filed under the name Pan troglodytes (chimpanzee). RNAcentral describes it as "long non-coding RNA NONPTRT001137". Lineage: Eukaryota; Metazoa; Chordata; Mammalia; Primates; Hominidae. The record is from RNAcentral.